RNAcentral lists this ribosomal RNA (433 nucleotides) under uncultured bacterium. RNAcentral describes it as "partial 16S ribosomal RNA". It matches the Rfam family "Bacterial small subunit ribosomal RNA", at positions 29 to 507 of the family's 1533-position model. The record is from RNAcentral.
AACGAACGCUGGCGGCAUGCCUAACACAUGCAAGUCGAACGAGACCUUCGGGUCUAGUUGCGCACGGGUGCGUAACGCGUGGUAACCUGCCCUUAGGUUCGGAAUCACUCCCCGAAGGGUGUGCUAAUACCGGAUAAUGUCUUCGGACCAAAGAUUUAUCGCCAUUGGAUGGGCGCGCGUUGGUUUAGCUAGUUGGUAGUGUAAAAGCCUACCAAGGCGACGAUGCAUAGCUGGUCUGAGAGGAUGAUCAGCCACACUGGGACUGCGACACGGCCCAGAAUCCUACGGGAGGCAGCAGUGGGGAAUAUUGGACGAUGGGCGAAAGCCUGAUCCAGCAAUGCCGCGUGAGUGAUGAAGGCCUUAGGGUUGUAAAGCUCUUUUACCCGGGAUGAUAAUGACAGUAACGGGAGAAUAAGCUCCGGCUAACUACGUG